This 1498-nucleotide ribosomal RNA is filed under the name Phaseolus acutifolius (tepary bean). RNAcentral describes it as "SSU rRNA". It matches the Rfam family "Eukaryotic small subunit ribosomal RNA", at positions 1 to 1469 of the family's 1831-position model. The record is from RNAcentral. Lineage: Eukaryota; Viridiplantae; Streptophyta; Magnoliopsida; Fabales; Fabaceae.
AAAUGUUGAUCCUGCCAGUAGUCAUAUGCUUGUCUCAAAGAUUAAGCCAUGCAUGUCUAAGUGCAAGCCAAAUUAAGGUGAAACCGCGGAAGGCUCAUUAUAUCAGUUAUGGUUCAAUAGAUCGUACUCAGUUACUUGGAUAACUGCGGAAAUACUGGAGCUAAUACAUGCCAACAGAGUCCCGACCGGAGACGGAAGGGACGCUUUUAUUAGAUCAAAACCAAUCGGUGGUUUCGGCCAUCGUGCAGUCUGGUGACUCUGAAUAACUUUGGGCUGAUCGCACGGCCUUCGUGCCGGCGACGCAUCUUUCAAAUGUCUGCCUUAUCAACUGUCGAUGGUAGGUUCUGCGCCUACCAUGGUUGUAACGGGUAACGGGGAAUCAGGGUUCGAUUCCGGAGAGGGAGCCUGAGAAACGGCUACCACAUCCAAGGAAGGCAGCAGGCGCGCAAAUUACCCACUCCCGGCUCGGGGAGGUAGUGACGAAAGAUAACGAUACGGGACUCAUCCGAGGCCCCGUAAUCGGAAUGACUACACUUUAAAUCCUUUAAGGAGUAUCAAUUGGAGGGCAAGUCUGGUGCCAGCAGCCGCGGUAAUUCCAGCUCCAAUAGCGUAUAUUAAAGUUGUUGCGGUUAAAAAGCUCGUAGUUGGAUCUGUGUCCCRCACCGUCGGGCGGUGAACCGACGGUGUCAAACUGACGCGAUGCGGGACGUCCUGCCGGUGGCGUGCAGCUGCGCGGCCUUUCGGGGACGCGUGGGCGGCGCCGAUUCAAUCCCGUCGCGGUGCUCUUCAUUGAGUGUCGAGGUGGGCCGGCACGUUUACUUUGAACAAAUUAGAGUGCUUCAAGCAGGCUGGAUAUUGCCUGAAUGCUAGUGCAUGGAAUAAUGGAAUAGGACCUCGGUUCUAUUUUGUUGGUUUUCGGAACCAGAGGUAAUGAUUAAUGGAGACAGGCGGGGGCAUUCGUAUUGCGACGUUAGAGGUGAAAUUCUUGGAUUUAUGAAAGACGAACAACUGCGAAAGCAUUUGCCAAGGAUGUUUUCAUUAAUCAAGAACGGAAAGUUGGGGGCUCGAAGACGAUCAGAUACCGUCCUAGUCUCAACCAUAAACGAUGCCGACCAGGGAUCAGCGGAUGUYGCUUUUAGGACUCCGCUGGCACCUUAUGAGAAAUCAAAGUAGUUCGGUUCGGGUCGGGGAGUAUGGUCGCAAGGCUGAAACUUAAAGGAAUUGACGGAAGGGCACCACCAGGAGUGGAGCCUGCGGCUUAAUUUGACCCAACACGGGGAAACUUACCAGGUCCAGACAUAGUAAGGAUUGACAGACUGAGAGCUCUUUCUUGAUUCUAUGGGUGGUGGUGCAUGGCCGUUUCUUAGUUGGUGGAGCGAUUUGUCUGGUUUAAUUCCGUUAAACGACGAGACCUCAGCCCUGCUAAGAAGCUGGCCGUGGAGGGUUACCUCCACAUAGCUAUUAGACGGGAUAUGCCGCUUAGGCCACGGAGUUGAGG